Molecule: ribosomal RNA, 499 nt
Filed under: uncultured bacterium
Lineage: Bacteria
Description: bacterial SSU rRNA
Rfam family: Bacterial small subunit ribosomal RNA
Source: RNAcentral
ACUCAAAGGAAUUGACGGGGGCCCGCACAAGCGGAGGAACAUGUGGUUUAAUUCGAUGAUACGCGAGGAACCUUACCUGGGCUUAAAUGUAGAGUGCAUGAGGUGGAAACACCCUUUCUGGCAACAGACUCUUUGCAAGGUGCUGCAUGGUUGUCGUCAGCUCGUGCCGUGAGGUGUCGGGUUAAGUCCCAUAACGAGCGCAACCCUUAUCGUUAGUUGCCAUCAGGUAAUGCUGGGAACUCUAGCGAGACUGCCACCGUAAGGUGAGAGGAAGGUGGGGAUGACGUCAAAUCAGCACGGCCCUUAUGUCCAGGGCUACACACGUGUUACAAUGGCCGGUACAAAGGGCAGCUACACCGCGAGGUGAUGCUAAUCUCGAAAGCCGGUCUCAGUUCGGAUUGGAGUCUGCAACCCGACUCCAUGAAGUUGGAUUCGCUAGUAAUCGCGCAUCAGCCAUGGCGCGGUGAAUACGUUCCCGGGCCUUGUACACACCGCCCGU